GUAAAUGAUAUUUACUUUGAUAAUUUUUACUUCAUAAAUAUUUUACUUUUACAAUAUUUUACUUUCCAACUGAUAUUUUAGUCUUAAUUUCUGUUUAUCUAAUUAAAAUUAAAAUCAGUUACAAGUGUAUAUGUUAUAGUUCUUUCACUUCAUCUUAUAUAAUUCAUGUAACCUUGUCUGUAAGACCCAGGAAAAACAAACUCAGUUUCUCCUAAACUUGCACAACACAAAAUGCUUCUGUGAUCUCUGUUUUCUCUCCACUGACAGCCAUCAGUCAGUUCUCCAGAGUCUGCACCAGACACUAGCUGAUUGUCCUUUAAUUCAAUUCAAUUCUUUAUCUGGAGUUAACGCCAGAUCCCACACAUUGAGAGUUUAUUCCCCUGAGACUAUUUCCCACUUCCAAUGCCAAUCAUAAGCCGCAGUCUGUCUUACCUGUGCUUCUGAUCUGCUAGCUGUAUAUCAGUGUUCCCAUAACCCCCUCCUAGGAUUUAAUGAAUUUGUUAGAGUGGCACAGAGUACUCAGGAAAAUACUUUACUCAUAUUUACCAGUAUAUUAUAAAAGAUACAGAUGAAGAGAUUCAUAGGACAAGGUGUAUGGGAAAGAGUGCCCUCUCUGGGGAAGCCCCCUCCAGGAACAUCCAUGCAUCCAGCCCCCU
This 656-nucleotide long non-coding RNA is filed under the name Marmota monax (woodchuck). Lineage: Eukaryota; Metazoa; Chordata; Mammalia; Rodentia; Sciuridae. The record is from RNAcentral.